AGUGGCGGACGGGGGAGUAACGCGUGGGUAACCUGCCUCAUACAGGGGGAUAACAGUUAGAAAUGACUGCUAAUACCGCAUAAGACCACGGAGCCGCAUGGCUCAGUGGGAAAAACUCCGGUGGUAUGAGAUGGACCCGCGUCUGAUUAGGUAGUUGGUGGGGUAACGGCCUACCAAGCCAACGAUCAGUAGCCGACCUGAGAGGGUGACCGGCCACAUUGGGACUGAGACACGGCCCAA
This 240-nucleotide ribosomal RNA is filed under the name uncultured bacterium. Its description in RNAcentral is "partial 16S ribosomal RNA". It matches the Rfam family "Bacterial small subunit ribosomal RNA", at positions 94 to 334 of the family's 1533-position model. The record is from RNAcentral.